CCUGCGGCUAAAGGUGUCAUUCUUCCAUGAGUCUGAAACUUUAUUUAUUUACUGAUAGAUCUUUUGCGAGCUUCAUUUGUUGAAUUAUUCAUUUAUGUGUUUUCAGGUAAACAGCUGCACCCAAAAAGAUUACUUCACAAAAGUGAGCUUUGAAUAUAUUCUGUACUGUCACCAAGGUAGGUGAAGCUGGCAUUGCCAGCCCAGAGGUUGCGCCUUGACUUAUGAGGCAACAACUCAUUUGCUUAAUUAAAACAGAAGAGGCAGAUGCUGCGAUUUCACAGUAAUGAAGCCUCGCUGGCGACACCCCAGUGUCUGCUGGGCUUCGUUUCAGAAACCAAGUUGUGUACGGUGCUGCUGUCAGCAUUCACGUCCCGUGUUCCUAGUGGCGUGCUCUCUGAGGUCAUGACCUGGAUUUAAUCAGCAAACUGCAUAAAAGUCUCUCUUGCCACCAUCACCUUAUCAAAGUACCGUGCAGCCAAUUGUGAUGAUGGAAUGAAAGCACUCUACUGUCUACAAGUCCAAGUGCAUCAAAUUGUCUAACAUUAGGAUUAGAAAUAAUAAGACUGGCUUUAGCACCUGGCCUGGCCAUCUUUAGGCCUGGAACCCCUGCAGAUUUUUUUAUUCUUCAAUAUCUCGCUCCUGGAGUUUUUCUUUCUGUCCUCUCUGGCAAUCUGAUUAUAGGAUCGGACUUACCUUAAUGGACUUAAAAAACUUAUCUUCAAUCUAGGAUUCUACUACUUGUAUACAGUAUCUGUGUUGUGUAAUCACAUAAUGAUUCUUUAAAAAUUAAUUUUUUUUAAUUAUUUAUUUUUGUUAUAUACAGUUAGGUCCAUAAAUAUUUGGACAGAGACAACUUUUUUCUAAUUUUGGUUCUGUACAUUACCACAAUGAAUUUUAAAUGAAACAACUCAGAUGCAA
Molecule: long non-coding RNA, 918 nt
Organism: Erpetoichthys calabaricus (reedfish)
Lineage: Eukaryota; Metazoa; Chordata; Cladistia; Polypteriformes; Polypteridae
Exons: 3
Source: RefSeq, a predicted model, not a curated record